This 278-nucleotide long non-coding RNA is filed under the name Elaeis guineensis (African oil palm). RNAcentral describes it as "long non-coding RNA (EGUI_LNC061573)". Lineage: Eukaryota; Viridiplantae; Streptophyta; Magnoliopsida; Arecales; Arecaceae. The record is from RNAcentral.
GGGUCAAGGUGGAAGCUCGAAUCAAUGAGGCUGAAGGCACAACCAAUGGUGCCACCACCGUCAAGCUCCGAUAGGAGAAUCUAAUGGUGCUUGAGCCCCGCAAGGUCAUCAAUAUCGCCCAUGAUCCACCUAAGAAAUGUCUGCUCCUACCCAGGGGAGGUGGCGAUUCAGAGAGCAUCACCUCCCAAUCCACAACAACACUGAGGCCAAUGCCACCGCAUUUAUCAUCGCCACCCUCAAGGGAGGUAGCUGGGAUAGACUGGAGUUCCACUACCCAC